CAAUAUUUUCACCACCACCGAGAUAUAAUCGGUAGGUAGGCCCCUAUUGGGUAACCUAUGAUCAGUUGGUACAUUAUAUACCGAGCAUAUUGUGGCCGAGCACCUAUGAGCGAGCCCAGAAUGGCCGAGAGGCUGAGCAUAGUAUGGCCGAGCACCUAUGAACGAGACUACUAUGGCCGAUCAGUUACACAUUGAGAGAGUUGAGUCUGUAUCAGCAGGUAAGUAUAUUCACAAAUGAUCUUUGACUCCCAGUUACUUUCAGUUAUUAUAUUAUCAGCUUAGUUUUAACUUUCAGUUAUUCUAUUGCCUUACAUACUCGGUACAUUAUUUCAUACUGACGUCGCAUUCCUAGGGACACUGCAUUUCAUGCAUGCAGGUUCGGAUAGAUAGACUGAUAAACCUCCUCCGUAGGUGCUGUCCGUGAUCAGCUUGAUAGGUAAGCUCCACGUACUUCGGAGUUGCCGGAUAUAAGGUUUUGAGUACAUAUUGUGUAUAUAUUAUGGGUAGGUCGAGGCCCUGUUCCGACCAUAGCACAUCCAUCAGUAGAGGCUUGUAGACAUAUUUUGCCAGUUAGUGCAGUAUGUUGGGCUUGUAGGACUUGUAUUUAUAUUUUUGUUAGCUUGUGAGUUGUAGUAGUUAUGAUGGCCUUGUCGGCACAUCUUUAUAUUGAUGUUCAGUCAAAGCUAUCUUCCAUUCAGUUUUUUAUUUUGUUUCACAAAAUGUCUUGCAACGUGGCCCUAUGGCAACGGUUAUUUUGUAA
RNAcentral lists this long non-coding RNA (760 nucleotides) under Nicotiana tabacum (common tobacco). Its description in RNAcentral is "long non-coding RNA (NTAB_LNC018313)". Lineage: Eukaryota; Viridiplantae; Streptophyta; Magnoliopsida; Solanales; Solanaceae. The record is from RNAcentral.